Molecule: ribosomal RNA, 394 nt
Filed under: uncultured Anaeromyxobacter sp.
Lineage: Bacteria; Pseudomonadati; Myxococcota; Myxococcia; Myxococcales; Anaeromyxobacteraceae
Description: bacterial SSU rRNA
Rfam family: Bacterial small subunit ribosomal RNA
Source: RNAcentral
CGAGAAAGCCCGCAAGGGUGAGUAAAGCGGCGCACGGGUGAGUAACACGUGGGUAAUCUGCCCUGGAGUCCGGAAUAACUCGCCGAAAGGCGUGCUAAUGCCGGAUAAGACCACGGGAGCCUCGGCUCCUGUGAGAAAAGGUGGCCUCUGUACACAAGCUAUCGCCCCAGGAUGAGCCCGCGUCCCAUCAGCUAGUUGGCGGGGUAAUGGCCCACCAAGGCUACGACGGGUAGCUGGUCUGAGAGGACGAUCAGCCACACUGGAACUGAGACACGGUCCAGACUCCUACGGGAGGCAGCAGUGGGGAAUCUUGCGCAAUGGGCGAAAGCCUGACGCAGCAACGCCGCGUGUGUGAUGAAGGUCUUCGGAUCGUAAAGCACUGUCGCGAGGGACG